GACGAACGCUGGCGGCGUGCUUAACACAUGCAAGUCGAACGGAAAGGCCCUGCUUUUGUGGGGUUCUCGAGUGGCGAACGGGUGAGUAACACGUGAGUAACCUGCCCUGGACUUUGGGAUAACUUCAGGAAACUGGGGCUAAUACCGGAUAGGAGCUCCUGCCGCACGGUGGGGGUUGGAAAGUUUCGGCGGUUGGGGAUGGAUUCGCGGCUUAUCAGCUUGUUGGUUGGGUAGUGGCUUACCAAGGCUUUGACGGGUAGCCGGCCUGAGAGGGUGACCGGCCACAUUGGGACUGAGAUACGGCCCAGACUCCUACGGGACGCAGCAGUGGGGAAUAUUGCACAAUGGGCGGAAGCCUGAUGCAGCAACGCCGCGUGCGGGAUGACGGCCUUCGGGUUGUAAACCGCUUUCGCAUGUGACGAAGCGUGAGUGACGGUAAUGGGUAAAGAAGCACCGGCUAACUACGUG
This 468-nucleotide ribosomal RNA is filed under the name uncultured bacterium. RNAcentral's name for it is "partial 16S ribosomal RNA". It matches the Rfam family "Bacterial small subunit ribosomal RNA", at positions 28 to 507 of the family's 1533-position model. The record is from RNAcentral.